CCUACGGGAGGCAGCAGUGAGGAAUAUUGGUCAAUGGGCGAAAGCCUGACGCAGCGACGCCGCGUGAGGGAUGAAGGUCUUCGGAUCGUAAACCUCUGUCAGCAGGGAAGAACGGUCACUGUGCUAAUCAGCAGUGAAUUGACGGUACCUGCAAAGGAAGCACCGGCUAACUCCGUGCCAGCCGCCGCGGUAAUACGGAGGGUGCGAGCGUUAAUCGGAAUUACUGGGCGUAAAGCGCUCGUAGGCGGUAUGUCAAGUCAAGGGUGAAAUCCCCGCGCUCAACGUGGGAACUGCCUUUGAAACUGGCAAACUGGAGUGUGUGAGAGGAUAGUGGAAUUCCAGGUGUAGGAGUGAAAUCCGUAGAUAUCUGGAGGAACAUCAGUGGCGAAGGCGACUAUCUGGCACAUAACUGACGCUGAGGAGCGAAAGCGUGGGUAGCAAACAGGAUUAGAUACCCGAGUAGUC
Molecule: ribosomal RNA, 465 nt
Filed under: uncultured bacterium
Lineage: Bacteria
Description: partial 16S ribosomal RNA
Rfam family: Bacterial small subunit ribosomal RNA
Source: RNAcentral